GAUAUAUCCACAACAAUGCUCUCAAAUAAUUAUUUUCAAAAAUAUACAUCUUACAAAACAAGAUAUACCUUGAUGUGGUUCAGGGCACACACUAUCCCAAAAUAUAAGCACCUUGGCAUGUUGAAUAUCUUUUUUUUUUUAAGAUUUUAUUUUUCCUUUUUCUCCCAAAGCCCUCUGGUACAUAGUUGUGUAUUUUUAGUUGUGGGUCCUUCUAGUUGUGGCAUGUGGCAUGCUGAAUAUCUUAAACUGAAGAAAUUCGAGAAAAUGCAGCUGCACAAGGGUCACUCGGACCCCUCCCACCUUUUCCUGCCCGCCCCCUUUCUUCUCUGAAACACGUCAUGAAACCCGCUGUGACAGGUCCCCUCUCUACGCCAGGAGGAAAGAAGACAUUCUCAUCACCAGAGAUGGAAUUUAGGGCCGAGAAGUCUAUAUAAACAAAUUUUAACUAAUCCUUAUCUUCCUAGUUUCCUCACCAUUUACUACCCCUAGCCCAGACUGCUGUGUCAUGUCAAUUCUUCACAAAUUUAUUGUUUCUUCCUCUAAAAGGUAUAAAAGCUUCCUGCUCUGGUUUCUUCUUUGGGUCUUCGUUCUCUUGGGAAGGCUCUCAUGUACAUGGGAAAAUCCAAUAAAAUUUGUGUGCUUUGAUCCUGUUAAUCUGUCUUUGUCGGUUUAAUUUUCAGACCUAGCCAGAGACCCUAGGAGAACUUUUUCCGUCCCUACACCCUCAACUAAAAGAAAAGAACACAAGUUUCCUAAAUCUGACGGAGUAUCUUAGCUUUUAUUCAUUCCUCCCCAGCUCCCUUGGAGAAUAAACAGGACUGGCCCUUGUAAGUAAGGAUCUUUUGUUAGCGACUCCUUCCCUUCCGUAAAGUCCCGUAAAUUAAAACUGGAAAUGAUUUGAUAUCUGUUGGCUCAUUUUCUGAUUAUACUUUGGUCCGAAUAAAUUGCAAUGUUUUAACCUCAAUCAACAUUUGCAUUUUAAGUCUUUAUCUCUAGUCCUAGAAUAAAAGGCUUUAUAACCACCAAAAGAAUUUCAGAUACAGCCUGCAGAGGGAUUUGGAAAAAUAAUGGAGAGGACAAUUAUAUCUUCCUUUGCCAUGGAGGCAGAGCUUGCAGCCAGAGGGCGUUCCCUGAAGAGCUGCCUGUCUAAGAACACUUCCUCCUCAGGAGCCUGAGCGCCACCAGCAAGACCACCCCUCCCUGUCCAGGAUCUUGAAAAGAAGAUUGUCUCUUGUCCCAAAGAGAGCUGUUUGGCAGAAAACGUCUACCUCCAGUGUAGUCUUGGAUUAUCUUGAAAACGGGAGCAUCUUCAUGUGGACUCAUAACUGAGACACAAGCAGGCAUGGAGGAUAGUCACAGGACUCUCUCGAAAGAGGAAAACAUUUUGGUAAGGAUGCAUCUGGAAAAACUCAAUGAGAGAACAAAAUCAGUUUGCACAACGGGAAAGAAUCUUUCAAUUUAAGCUUUAUUGUUAAUUGCUGUCCUUAUUGAUUUAAUUCUCGAUUUAGCAAUCCUGUGUCAAAGUUGGCAUUUUCGAGUUGGUGUUUUAAGAUCUCUGUAAGCAUCUAAAACAGUCCUUUUUGUACUGAAAGGAGAAGAAAUUAAGGCUGUAACUUGUCUUAUGUUCAUCUUUGUAUGAUCAAUGCUCAGCACAUAAUAGAUGAUCAAAAAGUAUUAGCUGAAUUAAUUAAUAUAUGACCAACUCUAAUGUUUACCACCUUCUUCCUUUAUUCAUUUAACAAAUAUUUUUCAACAGCCUACCAUGUGCAAAUGAAAGAUCUUAUCACAUGACCACCCAGGGAAAGUGUCAGAGCUGGAGGGACAUGCACAUUUCAAGGUCUGGCGGUGUGAAGAAACUGGGCAUGUUGAGAAACAGAAAAAAGGCAAUUUUGGCUGGAAUGUAGUGACGGAGUGGGAGAGAAGUAGGAGAGGGGGUCAGGUGUAUAGCCAGGGGCCAGAUCCUGUCAGGCUUCAUAGGCCUUUGUAAGGACUUUGUGUUCUAAGUACCAUGGAAAGCAGGAAAGCAAGAUAUUAUGAGCUGAUUUUUUUUUCUGGCCUCAUUCUCAUUCUCAGUGCCCUGUAGAUAAUGGAUUGCAGUGGGGCAAGAGGUGAGAAUGGCUGAGUUCUUGCUGCCUCCAGUAUUUAAGCACUGCCCUUAAUCUUGUGUCCCUCAGUUAUGACUUCACAUGGUGAUUUUCCAGUUCUAAAGAUAAACCUGGGUCAUAUAACAUAGAGGAGUAAAGAAUGCUUAACCAUAUGUAACACACAAGUCAGGGGUGAAAGAAAACCCAGGAGAGGCAAGAAGAGGUAAAAUAGAAAGCAAACAUUGUAUCUCUUCCCAUUAGUAUUUAAGUUAGCAGAAUCUCAUUUGAAUCAAAUUAUUUCCUUCUCUAAAUCUUAUGAACAGUCCCAAAUAUUAUAAUUCUGAAGAAUUUCCCUGGCCUGUUGGCGGUUGUGAUAAAGUUCCACUCCUUACACUGUUAGAUUCAAGCUCCCGAUUGUACCUAGUAUUUCUAAGAAGUUCCAUUUGUUUUAUUUUCUGGGCCAUACUCCCAAUUUGUUGAAAAGCUAGCAAGGUCUUUGAUAGACUGUUACAGGGGCUCUGAGAAGGAACUGAAAGCCUUAGGUUAAGACAGCAUGCUGAAGUUUAUAGGACCAGAGAAAAAGAAGCUUCCAGGAGUAGUGAAAAGUCAGAACGUUUUAAGGACUACUGCUCUGAGGAUUUAAUUUAGUAAUAAUAUUUCAGUUAAUAUCACUAUUGAGAGCAUUCUAUAGGAAAAAAUUGUACAAAUGAAUGUUUGAUAAAUAUACAAGUAGAUUAUAAGUGAAAUAUAUUUUGACAGCAUCUUAUACUUGUAAUUAUGAAUCAAUGAACAAUAAACAUAUGAUAAAAUAAUCAGAGAACUGCAAAUAUUUUUGCAAGAGGCUUUCUGUAUAAAAACCAAUCAUACUGGGGCCACCCCGGUGGCCGAGUGGUUAAGUUCGCGCGCUCCGCUUUGGUGGCCCAGGG
Equus caballus (horse) is the source of this 3010-nucleotide non-coding RNA. NCBI's taxonomy places the organism in Eukaryota, Metazoa, Chordata, Mammalia, Perissodactyla, Equidae. The record is from RefSeq and is a predicted model, not a curated record.